RNAcentral lists this non-coding RNA (21 nucleotides) under Caenorhabditis elegans. Lineage: Eukaryota; Metazoa; Nematoda; Chromadorea; Rhabditida; Rhabditidae. The record is from RNAcentral.
UACGACCGAACGAAUACUGAA